RNAcentral lists this ribosomal RNA (445 nucleotides) under uncultured soil bacterium. RNAcentral describes it as "bacterial SSU rRNA". It matches the Rfam family "Bacterial small subunit ribosomal RNA", at positions 26 to 518 of the family's 1533-position model. The record is from RNAcentral.
AGAACGAACGCUGGCGGCAUGCCUAAUACAUGCAAGUCGAACGAACACUUCGGUGUUAGUGGCGCACGGGUGCGUAACGCGUGGGAAUCUGCCCUUGGGUUCGGAAUAACUUCGGGAAACUGAAGCUAAUACCGGAUGAUGACGUAAGUCCAAAGAUUUAUCGCCCAAGGAUGAGCCCGCGUAGGAUUAGCUAGUUGGUGGGGUAAAGGCCUACCAAGGCGACGAUCCUUAGCUGGUCUGAGAGGAUGAUCAGCCACACUGGGACUGAGACACGGCCCAGACUCCUACGGGAGGCAGCAGUAGGGAAUAUUGGACAAUGGGCGAAAGCCUGAUCCAGCAAUGCCGCGUGAGUGAUGAAGGCCUUAGGGUGUAAAGCUCUUUACCCGAGAUGAUAAUGACAGUAUCGGGAGAAUAAGCUACCGGCUAACUCCGCGCCAGCAGCCGC